RNAcentral lists this ribosomal RNA (499 nucleotides) under uncultured bacterium. RNAcentral's name for it is "partial 16S ribosomal RNA". It matches the Rfam family "Bacterial small subunit ribosomal RNA", at positions 28 to 507 of the family's 1533-position model. The record is from RNAcentral.
GACGAACGCUGGCGGCGUGCCUAAUACAUGCAAGUCGAGCGAAGUUUUCCUGGUGCUUGCACCGGAAAAACUUAGCGGCGAACGGGUGAGUAACACGUAAAGAACCUGCCUCAUAGACUGGGACAACUAUUGGAAACGAUAGCUAAUACCGGAUAACAGCAUUAACUGCAUGGUUGAUGUUUAAAAGUUGGUUUUGCUAACACUAUGAGAUGGCUUUGCGGUGCAUUAGCUAGUUGGUGGGGUAAAGGCCUACCAAGGCGACGAUGCAUAGCCGACCUGAGAGGGUGAUCGGCCACACUGGGACUGAGACACGGCCCAGACUCCUACGGGAGGCAGCAGUAGGGAAUCUUCCGCAAUGGGCGAAAGCCUGACGGAGCAACGCCGCGUGAGUGAAGAAGGAUUUCGGUUCGUAAAGCUCUGUUGUUAGGGAAGAAUGAUUGUGUAGUAACUAUACACAGUAGAGACGGUACCUAACCAGAAAGCCACGGCUAACUACGUG